GCGUCGCUGGUGCAAAGGAUAGAGCACGCGCCCCUGGAUUGGGUGAAAUGCGGGUUCAAGUUCCGCUUGACGCA
Non-coding RNA from Parelaphostrongylus tenuis, 74 nucleotides. The record is from the annotation of a GenBank genome assembly. Lineage: Eukaryota; Metazoa; Nematoda; Chromadorea; Rhabditida; Metastrongylidae.